Molecule: transfer RNA, 73 nt
Filed under: Ictidomys tridecemlineatus (thirteen-lined ground squirrel)
Lineage: Eukaryota; Metazoa; Chordata; Mammalia; Rodentia; Sciuridae
Description: Spermophilus tridecemlineatus (thirteen-lined ground squirrel) tRNA
Rfam family: tRNA
About the family: Transfer RNA (tRNA) molecules are approximately 80 nucleotides in length.
Source: Rfam by way of RNAcentral
GGGGAUAUAGCUCAGUUUGUAGAGUGCUUGCCUUGCGUGUACAAGGCUCUGGGUUCAAACCCCAGCACCCCCA